UGGCUCUCGCAUCGAUGAAGAACGCAGCGAAAUGCGAUAAGUAAUGUGAAUUGCAGAAUUCAGUGAAUCAUCGAAUCUUUGAACGCACCUUGCACUCCUUGGUAUUCCGAGGAGUAUGCCUGUUUGAGUGUCUUGUAAUCAUCAAUCUAACAUUGCUUUUGUGAUGUGAGAUUGGAUUUGGAGACUGCUGGUCUUACGACUGGCUUCUCUUGAAUACAUUAGUAGAAUUGAGUUGCAGCGCUACGUGUAGUGUGAUAAUAUCUUCACUGCAUAGUUGUAAUGAAGUUUUGCUUCUAAUCGUCCCUCGUUGGACAAUAAUUGACCAUUUGACCUCAAAUCAGGUAGGACUACCCGCUGA
This 358-nucleotide unclassified non-coding RNA is filed under the name uncultured fungus. Its description in RNAcentral is "partial contains 5.8S ribosomal RNA and internal transcribed spacer 2". The stretch from base 1 to 133 matches the Rfam family "5.8S ribosomal RNA", at positions 22 to 154 of the family's 154-position model. The record is from RNAcentral. Lineage: Eukaryota; Fungi.